GCCGAUGUGGUGGAAUAGGCAGACGCGACGGACUCAAAAUCCGUUGGUAGUGAUACCGUAUGGGUUCAAGUCCCAUCAUCGGCACCA
RNAcentral lists this transfer RNA (87 nucleotides) under bacterium. RNAcentral's name for it is "tRNA-Leu". It matches the Rfam family "tRNA". From Rfam's summary of the family: Transfer RNA (tRNA) molecules are approximately 80 nucleotides in length. The record is from RNAcentral.